This 376-nucleotide unclassified non-coding RNA is filed under the name uncultured bacterium. RNAcentral describes it as "contains 16S-23S intergenic spacer region". The record is from RNAcentral.
UCCGGUUUGUCACCGGCAGUCCCAUUAGAGUGCCCAACUUAAUGUGGUAACUAAUGGCAAGGGUUGCGCUCGUUGCGGGACUUAACCCAACAUCUCACGACACGAGCUGACGACAGCCAUGCACCACCUGUGAUCCUGCCCACAAGGGGAAACCGUGUUUCCACGGCGGUCAGGAACAUGUCAAACCCAGGUAAGGUUCUUCGCGUUGCGUCGAAUUAAACCACAUGCUCCGCUGCUUGUGCGGGUCCCCGUCAAUUCCUUUGAGUUUUAGUCUUGCGACCGUACUUCCCAGGCGGGGUACUUAGUGCGUUAGCGCCGGUUCGGAAGGGGUCAAGACCUACCAAACCUAGUACCCAUCGUUUACGGCGUGGACUAC